GAAAUCCAAAUAUUAACAUGGUAUCUCAGAGAAAAAAAUCUUCUUAUUUAUGUAGGGUAAAUAUGAAGAGUAAGAUAACAUCAGUUUACUGGAAAAGGUUUUUCUCAUCUUUUGGAGCUGAACACAAGAUUAUCAUUUCAGGAACCACUCUGAAGGACAUGUUCUCAUUCAGGAAGUCUGAUGCUAAUUACUUUGAAUCAAAGAGCCGGAUGAGCGUAACCUUCCAGUUUGGGAGAUAUUCAUCUGAUGGUAAGAAGGGAUUCUGCUAAUGCUCAGAUUCCAAAAGACAUAAUUUUGAAAGGCCAGAAAAAAGGUGUUGGAAACUGUACAUCUGACCAAGAGGUUGGAAAGUAGUGUCUGAAUCUUUCCUGCUUGCUGUGUUUCCAAUGAAAUGAAUGUUGAUGUAUUGUGUUUCUAAUAGUUAGGCUACUUAAAGCUUUGAAUAAGUGUUUAUUUUUAUUUAUGUUAAGUAGAUAUAUCUUAAAUUCUAGUUAUAAGAACAAUUUAUAAUGCCAUUCAUUCUUAAGUAUUUGCAUUGAGCUCUAGAUGAAUUUGAAAAGUUGAAGAAUAAAUAAAACUAUAUAUAAGUUUCA
This 593-nucleotide long non-coding RNA is filed under the name Chloebia gouldiae (Gouldian finch). RNAcentral describes it as "Erythrura gouldiae (Gouldian finch) lncRNA (ENSEGOG00005014021.1)". Lineage: Eukaryota; Metazoa; Chordata; Aves; Passeriformes; Passeridae. The record is from RNAcentral.